Molecule: non-coding RNA, 111 nt
Filed under: alpha proteobacterium BAL199
Lineage: Bacteria; Pseudomonadati; Pseudomonadota; Alphaproteobacteria
Description: TPP riboswitch aptamer (THI element)
Rfam family: TPP riboswitch aptamer (THI element)
About the family: Vitamin B(1) in its active form thiamin pyrophosphate (TPP) is an essential coenzyme that is synthesised by coupling of pyrimidine and thiazole moieties in bacteria. The previously detected thiamin-regulatory element, thi box was extended, resulting in a new, highly conserved RNA secondary structure, the THI element, which is widely distributed in eubacteria and also occurs in some archaea.
Source: Rfam by way of RNAcentral
UCGCCACUUCGGGGGAGCCGCAAUCGGGCGGCUGAGAGGUCCGGGAAACCGGACGACCCCACGAACCUGAUCCGGAUCACGCCGGCGGAGGGAGCAAGGAGGCAGCGAUGC